RNAcentral lists this transfer RNA (62 nucleotides) under Pomphorhynchus tereticollis. RNAcentral's name for it is "tRNA-Ala". The record is from RNAcentral. Lineage: Eukaryota; Metazoa; Acanthocephala; Palaeacanthocephala; Echinorhynchida; Pomphorhynchidae.
UAGGUUAAUUAAACUUCAUGAGUUGCUAUUGUGAGAUAGGGGGUUGAAUAGCAAUAAUGCGA